RNAcentral lists this long non-coding RNA (587 nucleotides) under Equus caballus (horse). RNAcentral's name for it is "lncRNA (ENSECAG00000038543.3)". Lineage: Eukaryota; Metazoa; Chordata; Mammalia; Perissodactyla; Equidae. The record is from RNAcentral.
CUCCGUGCUUACCGGGGCCUCCCCGGCCAGCCCUCGUGGGAAUAUUGGAACAGACCAGUUGGGGAGGCGGAUGUCAGCACAAGCAGGACCACACAGGGCCCAGCUGGUCUGAGCCCAGCCCUGCAGCGAUGGCUCCCCAGGCCCGGGACCAGGACUCUGCAGUCAGACCGGACCUGAGUCCAGCGCCUCCCGCUCUCUGUGACCCCGGGGAGAGGAGCCCUCGGGGGCAGCAACGGUCAGGAGGGGAACAGCCCCUUGAACUGACUCGCAAGGGGCAGGGGUCUGCUGGUGGUCAUGUGGAGAACAACAGAUUCUGGACAUGCUGGCCGCUCACUGUCCUCCAGUGCUGGAGUCCUGGGCUCUGCAGGUCAGGAGCUGACAAAAGCUGGAUCCAAAUCUGGAAGGUGCCUUCAAGGGCGUGACACCUAACUGGCUGCUAUCCCUGCACCUCCCACGACAGCCUCAUGCUCCGCCGCCCCCGCGAGGAAUUUUAUGGAUGCAAAGAAGCUUUCCAGACCCAGUGCAAAUGGCUCAGGGUCAACUAUCCACUCAGCCAGAGGCCACCUCCGUCCCUGGGAUGCCCAUCA